Molecule: ribosomal RNA, 691 nt
Filed under: uncultured Serratia sp.
Lineage: Bacteria; Pseudomonadati; Pseudomonadota; Gammaproteobacteria; Enterobacterales; Yersiniaceae
Description: bacterial SSU rRNA
Rfam family: Bacterial small subunit ribosomal RNA
Source: RNAcentral
GGUAGUCCACGCCGUAAACGAUGUCGACUUGGAGGUUGUUCCCUUGAGGAGUGGCUUCCGGAGCUAACGCGUUAAGUCGACCGCCUGGGGAGUACGGCCGCAAGGUUAAAACUCAAAUGAAUUGACGGGGGCCCGCACAAGCGGUGGAGCAUGUGGUUUAAUUCGAUGCAACGCGAAGAACCUUACCUACUCUUGACAUCCAGAGAACUUAGCAGAGAUGCUUUGGUGCCUUCAGGAACUCUGAGACAGGUGCUGCAUGGCUGUCGUCAGCUCGUGUUGUGAAAUGUUGGGUUAAGUCCCGCAACGAGCGCAACCCUUAUCCUUUGUUGCCAGCGGUUAGGCCGGGAACUCAAAGGAGACUGCCAGUGAUAAACUGGAGGAAGGUGGGGAUGACGUCAAGUCAUCAUGGCCCUUACGAGUAGGGCUACACACGUGCUACAAUGGCGCAUACAAAGAGAAGCGACCUCGCGAGAGCAAGCGGACCUCAUAAAGUGCGUCGUAGUCCGGAUUGGAGUCUGCAACUCGACUCCAUGAAGUCGGAAUCGCUAGUAAUCGUAGAUCAGAAUGCUACGGUGAAUACGUUCCCGGGCCUUGUACACACCGCCCGUCACACCAUGGGAGUGGGUUGCAAAAGAAGUAGGUAGCUUAACCUUCGGGAGGGCGCUUACCACUUUGUGAUUCAUGACUGGGG